GACGAACGUUGGCGGCGUGCUUAACACAUGCAAGUCGAACGGAAAGGCCCUGCUUUUGUGGGGUGCUCGAGUGGCGAACGGGUGAGUAACACGUGAGUAACCUGCCCUUGACUUUGGGAUAACUUCAGGAAACUGGGGCUAAUACCGGAUAGGAGCUCCUGCUGCAUGGUGGGGGUUGGAAAGUUUCGGCGGUUGGGGAUGGACUCGCGGCUUAUCAGCUUGUUGGUGGGGUAGUGGCUUACCAAGGCUUUGACGGGUAGCCGGCCUGAGAGGGUGACCGGCCACAUUGGGACUGAGAUACGGCCCAGACUCCUACGGGAGGCAGCAGUGGGGAAUAUUGCACAAUGGGCGGAAGCCUGAUGCAGCAACGCCGCGUGCGGGAUGACGGCCUUCGGGUUGUAAACCGCUUUCGCCUGUGACGAAGCGUGAGUGACGGUAAUGGGUAAAGAAGCACCGGCUAACUACGUGCCAGCAGCCGCGGUGAUACGUAGGGUGCGAGCGUUGUCCGGAUUUAUUGGGCGUAAAGGGCUCGUAGGUGGUUGAUCGCGUCGGAAGUGUAAUCUUGGGGCUUAACCCUGAGCGUGCUUUCGAUACGGGUUGACUUGAGGAAGGUAGGGGAGAAUGGAAUUCCUGGUGGAGCGGUGGAAUGCGCAGAUAUCAGGAGGAACACCAGUGGCGAAGGCGGUUCUCUGGGCCUUUCCUGACGCUGAGGAGCGAAAGCGUGGGGAGCGAACAGGCUUAGACACCCUGGUAGUCCACGCUGUAAACGGUGGGUACUAGGUGUGGGGUCCAUUCCACGGGUUCCGUGCCGUAGCUAACGCUUUAAGUACCCCGCCUGGGGAGUACGGCCGCAAGGCUAAAACUCAAAGGAAUUGACGGGGCCCCGCACAAGCGGCGGAGCAUGCGGAUUAAUUCGAUGCAACGCGUAGAACCUUACCUGGGUUUGACAUGGAUCGGGAGUGCUCAGAGAUGGGUGUGCCUCUUUUGGGGUCGGUUCACAGGUGGUGCAUGCCUGUCGUCAGCUCGUGUCGUGAGAUGUUGGGUUAAGUCCCGCAACGAGCGCAACCCUUGUUCACUGUUGCCAGCACGUUAUGGUGGGGACUCAGUGGAGACCGCCGGGGUCAACUCGGAGGAAGGUGGGGAUGACGUCAAGUCCUCAUGCCCCUUAUGUCCAGGGCUUCACGCAUGCUACAAUGGCUGGUACAGAGAGUGGCGAGCCUGUGAGGGUGAGCGAAUCUCGGAAAGCCGGUCUCAGUUCGGAUUGGGGUCUGCAACUCGACCUCAUGAAGUCGGAGUCGCUAGUAAUCGCAAAUCAGCAACGCUGCGGUGAAUACGUUCCCGGGGCC
Molecule: ribosomal RNA, 1346 nt
Filed under: uncultured bacterium
Lineage: Bacteria
Description: bacterial SSU rRNA
Rfam family: Bacterial small subunit ribosomal RNA
Source: RNAcentral